AGCUCACGUGAAUAUAUUUGCAACCGUGACGUCAUCAACAGCAACAAAAUCACAAAGAAGCUCCGCUUGAUAGUGUGUAGGUUAGUGGCAAUAGCUGAAGAUACAGUCCUAUAACUCAAGCUAUAACGUCUGAUACUGGCUGCAUAGGUGUUGUAGCAACCACCAAGCCUUAAAUAAUGCCAUGCCUCUUAUUUUUGAAAGAGGUUGCACUGUUUUUGUUACAAAAAGCUACCACCAGCCCCCCUGGAAUUUUUACUGAGACGGCGCUUAUGGAAUAACGUCUAACUCAGGCUCUGAUUCGGACUGACUGGUUUGACUGUCACUCCCUGUAUUUUGUCCGAACACCCAGUCGACGAUGUCUUCCCCUUCUCUGUCUGUCAAUCUGCCUGCCUCCACAUCUUCUUCCAGAGAUAUAAUCCAAUUGAACAAUGCUUCCCCCUUUUCUUGCAGCCACACUGUCCAGUCAAACAACCUGUCAAACACUUGCAUCCUUUAAGGAGUGAGUCGACUCGAUCACAGACAGCCUGUACGUUGGUGGCAGUAUCCCAUUUAAUGGACAAACCUGACGAGUGAAAUCAAUGUUCAAGGAGGCUGCAAGGGUACGUGCUGGCUCACUUCGCCAGUUGCUUGGACUACUCAUAUUCCCACUGACGCCAUGGCACAACUCACAUACUCCGUUGCCUGCAACACUGUCACUGACUUCCCCAAAAGAAAGCUGCCUUCUAGUUUUUCGCUUACUAGCUAGACACUAUUUUACAAAUGUUUGUAUUAAUUUUUUAUAUCAUUAUUGUGUGACACAACAAACCUGGAAUGUCUAUGAUGUGCCAUAGUCUGUGUGGUGCACUCCAUCUUGUGGGACUCCGUUGGUUUGACAUGGAAAUUGUGGUCAAGUUUUGCAAGCUCAUAAUUUUUGCUUCAAAGCUGGGUACAAGCAAAAUGUUUUUGCAAAGUAAUGCUCAAAGCUUACAAAUUUUGUUGAUACCCAUCACGUAGCUUCACUUUGUUAGCAAAAUUUUUUGUCACUUGUUCUAGAGGAGUACUAUCAUAUGACAUAGAGUGCUAUUUGAGCUCGUGGAGCCAAACUUAUAAAAGCUUAACAACUAUUCUCGUGUAUGCAUGUAGACUAGGAACAGUUCUACGUGCCUGAGCUCGUUCGUGAGUGUAUGUACAAUACUUCGUAGAAUAUAAGUGUGUGAAUAUUUAAUUACUUUUAGUAUUAGCUUCAUUUUGAUAGCGGAAGUUGAACUUCCGUUGCAAAUAAAUUUGUGUACUUACC
This is a long non-coding RNA of Halichondria panicea, 1276 nucleotides long. RefSeq lists it as uncharacterized. The record is from RefSeq and is a predicted model, not a curated record. The transcript has 4 exons. Lineage: Eukaryota; Metazoa; Porifera; Demospongiae; Suberitida; Halichondriidae.